Molecule: ribosomal RNA, 221 nt
Filed under: Acinetobacter sp. arc5
Lineage: Bacteria; Pseudomonadati; Pseudomonadota; Gammaproteobacteria; Moraxellales; Moraxellaceae
Description: partial 16S ribosomal RNA
Rfam family: Bacterial small subunit ribosomal RNA
Source: RNAcentral
UGCCAGCAGCCGCGGUAAUACAGAGGGUGCGAGCGUUAAUCGGAUUUACUGGGCGUAAAGCGUGCGUAGGCGGCUUUUUAAGUCGGAUGUGAAAUCCCCGAGCUUAACUUGGGAAUUGCAUUCGAUACUGGGCUAGAGUAUGGGAGAGGAUGGUAGAAUUCCAGGUGUAGCGGUGAAAUGCGUAGAGAUCUGGAGGAAUACCGAUGGCGAAGGCAGCCUCU